UCUCACUUUCUCUCUCUUCUCUUUUAUCGGGUAGUGUAGUGACCCUCUCUCUCAUUCUAUCGUUCCUGCUUCUUCGCUGCCUCGACUUCUUCUCUCGCGGUGCUGAAGGAGCUCACGCAUGGCGACUCAACUUCUUCAUCGCUACCCCUUGCACUUGAUUUGGAUGCUAAUUUUUUCAUCAGCCAGAAAUGCUUGGAGAGAGCCCAUUGCAACUCUGCAUUUGCUACACCAUGAAAUGUGGGAGCUUUACGACUUUGCUUACUGGUUCUGUUCAUUCUGUUCUUCCUAUUUGAACUUAAUAUGGUGAGAAUAUUCAUGGAUUUGUCUACUUCAUAAACCACUUCAUUUUAAGAAGCCUUUUGGUUGCGGCUACAUUCUUUCUCUGGUUUGUUCUGGCCAUUUACUAUGACAAUAUAAUCCCAAAUGCAUCAGGUGUGAGGAAAUCAAUAUUGUACUUUCUAAUUCCUAGUUAUUGGAUGGGAAAAGGAGGUCAAAAAGUGAAAGAGGGUGGGGUCUUGUUGAUGCAAAUGUUGUUGUUCAGAUACGUGGCCUUGCAAAGACAUAUCCUGGAACACGUAGCAUUGGUUGCUGCUUUAAAUGUAAAAGAACUUAAGGCUAUUAUUGUUGGACCUAGAGAUGAAUUGGAAAAACCUGUGGAUAUGAAUGACUGGAGUGGAACUUUAAUUUGUCCAUGGACUUGUUCAUAUAUUAUCAUGUAGAUUAAAAUUACAGCAACAAGUGAAAAUAGUUGAUGUAUUGGAUCAAUUAUAUUUGUAUACAUAUUACAUUUGUUUUAAAUUUAUACAUGUAUUGCAUCAUUAUC
RNA transcript from Glycine soja, 823 nucleotides. RefSeq lists it as uncharacterized. The transcript has 4 exons. Lineage: Eukaryota; Viridiplantae; Streptophyta; Magnoliopsida; Fabales; Fabaceae. The record is from RefSeq and is a predicted model, not a curated record.